GAUCCACACCCGCAUUCUCGUCGUAGCAAUUGGCUUGCUCGUUGCAGCCGGUGUUUCAAGCGCCGCCGACUCUACUACUUCCACAACUCGUGUCUACAACUUCACUAUAAGGGAGCUUGUUCUUUAGCGAAAGGGAAUACCUCUUUGCUUGCCUGCUUUUGUUUGUUGCUCCAGCAGUAGUGACACUGUCUUGCUGCUGCUGCUGCUGCUCAGAUCCGGUCGACAAACGUGAGGCGACUUUGCAACU
RNAcentral lists this long non-coding RNA (247 nucleotides) under Selaginella moellendorffii. Its description in RNAcentral is "long non-coding RNA (SMOE_LNC001569)". Lineage: Eukaryota; Viridiplantae; Streptophyta; Lycopodiopsida; Selaginellales; Selaginellaceae. The record is from RNAcentral.